RNAcentral lists this ribosomal RNA (456 nucleotides) under uncultured bacterium. RNAcentral describes it as "SSU rRNA". It matches the Rfam family "Bacterial small subunit ribosomal RNA", at positions 26 to 518 of the family's 1533-position model. The record is from RNAcentral.
AGGAUAAACGCUGGCGGCGUGCCUAACACAUGCAAGUCGAACGCCCUACGCAAGUAGGGAGUGGCGGACGGGUGAGGAACACGUGGGUAAUCUGCCCUUCGGUGAGGAAUACCGGCGAGAAAUCGCCGACAAUACCGCAUACGUUUCACGGAAGUGAAAGAAAGUCGUAAGACGCCGAGGGAUGAGCCUGCGCCCGAUUAGUUUGUUGGUGGGGUAAAAGCCUACCAAGACUACAAUCGGUAGCUGGUCUGAGAGGACGAUCAGCCACACUGGGAUUGAGAACGGCCCAGACUCCUACGGGGGGCAGCAGUGAGGAAUUUUCGUCAAUGGGGGCAACCCUGAACGAGCAACGCCGCGUGCAGGAGAAGGUUUUCGGAUCGUAAACUGCUUUUCUCGGGGACGAGCAAGGACGGUACCCGAGGAAGAAGCCCCGGCUAACUACGUGCCAGCAGCCGC